UUAAGAAGAAGAAGAAGAAGAAGAAGAAAAGAAGAAUCGUACAGAAAUUGAGGAAAGUGAGGAGAUAAACAAACAAACAAAAAAAUCGGAACGGAAGAAGCAAGCAAACGGGAAGAAGAGAAGAGAGUGAAGAAAUUUGAAACUCCGCUCCGGAAGCGAGAGUGUGAAGUAUAAGAAGAAGAUGGGGAAGAUACCUGGAGCAUGAUGUGCAGAAGUAAGCAAGCAAGUAAUUGGAAGAGGUAUUACAGAGAGUGGUGAAGGGAAGAGAUAGAUCUCUGCUGGAAUGAAAGGGAAGAAAGAAUCAGAGAAGUUUGAAGAAU
Molecule: long non-coding RNA, 320 nt
Filed under: Linum usitatissimum (flax)
Lineage: Eukaryota; Viridiplantae; Streptophyta; Magnoliopsida; Malpighiales; Linaceae
Description: long non-coding RNA (LUSI_LNC001048)
Source: RNAcentral